AGUCGAACGGGAUCCAGGCAGCUUGCUGCCUGGUGAGAGUGGCGAACGGGUGAGUAAUGCGUGACCGACCUGCCCCAUGCACCGGAAUAGCUCCUGGAAACGGGUGGUAAUGCCGGAUGCUCCAUCACACCGCAUGGUGUGUUGGGAAAGCCUUUGCGGCAUGGGAUGGGGUCGCGUCCUAUCAGCUUGAUGGCGGGGUAACGGCCCACCAUGGCUUCGACGGGUAGCCGGCCUGAGAGGGCGACCGGCCACAUUGGGACUGAGAUACGGCCCAGACUCCUACGGGAGGCAGCAGUGGGGAAUAUUGCACAAUGGGCGCAAGCCUGAUGCAGCGACGCCGCGUGAGGGAUGGAGGCCUUCGGGUUGUAAACCUCUUUUGUUAGGGAGCAAGGCAUUUUGUGUUGAGUGUACCUUUCGAAUAAGCACCGGCUAACUACGUGCCAGCAGCCGCGGUAAUACGUAGGGUGCAAGCGUUAUCCGGAAUUAUUGGGCGUAAAGGGCUCGUAGGCGGUUCGUCGCGUCCGGUGUGAAAGUCCAUCGCUUAACGGUGGAUCCGCGCCGGGUACGGGCGGGCUUGAGUGCGGUAGGGGAGACUGGAAUUCCCGGUGUAACGGUGGAAUGUGUAGAUAUCGGGAAGAACACCAAUGGCGAAGGCAGGUCUCUGGGCCGUUACUGACGCUGAGGAGCGAAAGCGUGGGGAGCGAACAGGAUUAGAUACCCUGGUAGUCCACGCCGUAAACGGUGGAUGCUGGAUGUGGGGCCCGUUCCACGGGUUCCGUGUCGGAGCUAACGCGUUAAGCAUCCCGCCUGGGGAGUACG
Molecule: ribosomal RNA, 819 nt
Filed under: Bifidobacterium breve
Lineage: Bacteria; Bacillati; Actinomycetota; Actinomycetes; Bifidobacteriales; Bifidobacteriaceae
Description: bacterial SSU rRNA
Rfam family: Bacterial small subunit ribosomal RNA
Source: RNAcentral